Molecule: ribosomal RNA, 495 nt
Filed under: uncultured bacterium
Lineage: Bacteria
Description: partial 16S ribosomal RNA
Rfam family: Bacterial small subunit ribosomal RNA
Source: RNAcentral
GACGGACGCUGGCGGCGUGCCUAAUACAUGCAAGUAGAACGCUGAAGGAGGAGCUUGCUUCUCUGGAUGAGUUGCGAACGGGUGAGUAACGCGUAGGUAACCUGCCUGGUAGCGGGGGAUAACUAUUGGAAACGAUAGCUAAUACCGCAUAAUAGUAGAUGUUGCAUGACAUUUGCUUAAAAGGUGCAAUUUCAUCACUACCAGAUGGACCUGCGUUGUAUUAGCUAGUUGGUGGGGUAACGGCUCACCAAGGCGACGAUACAUAGCCGACCUGAGAGGGUGAUCGGCCACACUGGGACUGAGACACGGCCCAGACUCCUACGGGAGGCAGCAGUAGGGAAUCUUCGGCAAUGGACGGAAGUCUGACCGAGCAACGCCGCGUGAGUGAAGAAGGUUUUCGGAUCGUAAAGCUCUGUUGUAAGAGAAGAACGAGUGUGAGAGUGGAAAGUUCACACUGUGACGGUAUCUAACCAGAAAGGGACGGCUAACUACGUG